This is a long non-coding RNA of Myotis myotis, 2256 nucleotides long. RefSeq lists it as uncharacterized. Lineage: Eukaryota; Metazoa; Chordata; Mammalia; Chiroptera; Vespertilionidae. The record is from RefSeq and is a predicted model, not a curated record. The transcript has 3 exons.
GACAGGAACAUAGGUAGGAAGGGGUGCUUAGCCCUAAGGAGAGGGGACUAAGGAAAGAAAAAGGAGUCGGGGGCGGAGCGAGGAGGAUUCCGGAGGAAAAGUAGGAGAAGACGGAGGUUCUCCCCACUUGGGCCGGAGGGCAGCGGGGACGGCGCUCCUCCGGGGCUGCCGGGAGUGUGGAGAGCAACAAACUCUGAUGCCGCGGGUGAGAACUUGGGGAGCACACACAGCGGCGGGGUCAGAGGAGGAGCUGCGGCCGCUGCCCGCCCUCGCUCACUUGGCCCCGCACGUUGAAGCCGUAGCCGGACUCGGACUUGACGAUGCGCACGACCCGCGGGCCGCUGCCUCCGCCGUUCCCGGCGCAGUGGAGCCCUGAACCCCCACCGCCGCCGCCGCCUCCGUUCCGGUGAGGGGCUGCGGGGUGAAUCCCUUCCCCGUCCUCGUCCGCCAUCUUGCGAGCCAGCGAGCCGUAUCCCCGCCCCCGACGCCUCCACUCCCUCCCGCGCGCGCUCGCGCCGCUCCGCAGCCGCGCGACCCCUCGCGCGCUCGCUGCCGACCGCGGGACCCCCGUGGGCCCCGAGCUGCAGGCCGGGGUGAGGGACGACACGAGGCGAGGGAAGAAGGACGUCGUGCACUGUGGAGCCUCCUGGGAGAUGUAGUUUAUGGGCUGUGGGGACUGAGAGGGUGCUGGGCCCUGCGGGAGUUGAGGUUAUAUGACGCAGUCGGGAGCAAGGCCUGCUGGGAGUUGUAGUUUUCCUUUUAUGCUCUUAGGCGUUUCAUCUGUUGGAUAGCGAGUGUGUGGCAGACUGAUUCAACUGUUGAUGUCUUUUUUUUCUUCUUCUUCUUAUUUCAUAGGCUCUAAGCCAAUGAUAUUAGGGCGAGUUAACGUUUGUAACUCAAUACAGUCUUAAGUUAUAACAACUCAUUUGCACAGGUGGUCACAUUUUAUUCCAUGGCGCCAACUUCUUGAGACUACUGGAUCGUGAAUUAGUUUGUGUAUUUCACAUAUUAGAAAACUGAACCUUAGAGUGCUCAAAGUCAUCCAGCUAUUAAGUAACAGGAACUAAGGCCCAGUUAUAUUUGUGCAACUUUUCCUGUAUUGCAACUACAUAAAUAGUAGGCCCCAGUCCAGCCUGUGUGGCUCAGUGGUGGAGCGUGGGCCCAUGCGCCCAGAGGUGGUGAGUUGGAUUCAGGUCAUGCCACAUGCCCUGUGUGCAGGCUCCAUCCCCAGCAGGGGCAUGCAGGAGACAGCCAACUGAGAUUGAUGUUUCUCUCUCAUCCACGUUUCUCUCUCCUCUCCCUCUUCCUUCCUCUCUAACAAUUAAUAAAAACAUAUUUUUUUAAAGAUAGGACCCCCAACUAUACAGAAAUAUAUAGAGGGAGAGGGGAAACUAUGGCCUUACUGAUUUAAAACUGAAUAGUAGUGUGGCUAAGUAAUUUCAAUCGAGCAAUGAUUUCAAAGUCACCUUUAUUUCUAAUUCAUUUUGUUUCCCCCAACAGUACAGUAGAAUUAUUUGCAAAUGGCAGCAAUUGAUGUAUUUUGGCUACCUUCCCAAACACAAACUUACAGAUAUUGUGCAGAAUGCCUAGGAAAAGCAAGUUAGAAGAGCAAGAGCAAAAAUAAUGUAAAUAUCUUAAGCAUUUAAUUCUCAAGUCUGGUAUUUGAUUUUACCUAUUGGAAGGCUAACAGGUUAGUCUGUUACUGUUUCAUGGAUGUUGAUAAAAGACACAAGAUUCUUGGGUAAGAGACAAAGGACUCAAAACAAGAAGCAACACGAGCUUCAGCAUGUUUGUGUCAAUUCCUCUUGUCCCCCAAGUCUCACGGGCUCGGAUGAAAGCUUUGCUCUUGGUGGAUUUACAUCAUGGCUGAGGAACACUGGGCAUGGGGAGCCCACCAUUUUAUCGGAAGCAGCUCUGUGAUCGUGACUAGGAAUACAAAGAUCAAUACGAUGAUAUCUACUAACUCCAUGAAGGGCAAUAUGGCAAUAUGUGAAGGCAUGUACUCCUUGAUCUAGGGAUUCCACUUCUAGGAGUUCAUUCUACUCUCACACUUGAACAUGUGUGAAAUGACAUUUUGUGACGUUAGUAGUUGCAGUAUUGUUUGCGUUCACAGAAGAUUGGAAAUAACCUAACGUUCAUUGAUUGAAUUAUGAUACACCCACAAUAAAAAACUGAGUAACUAAAUAAAGACUAAGGAAGUUGUUUAUGUACUGAAAUGGCAUGGCCACAAGGAUACUGUACAUAAGUAAGUGGAAA